GAAGUGAUUCUUGCCAGCAACUGCCCUCCCAUGGGCUGUCUGGGGCAGAGAAGUCACAGCCACGAUGGGGAGAACACCAGUGCAGGACAGAGAGCCCAGCUCAGGAGGAGAGACACAGAGCUGGGGCAUCUAUCACUCGGCGCCAGCCUGCCCAUCUGCUCGGGGCUGACACUUUGCAGAGAGCGCUGGAAGGACGUCUACACUGGAAGAGAGCUUCUUUGGGCAAGAACCGGAACACAGAGAUGCCUUUGGCCCGGCUUUGACCAUGCAGAGGAGGACCGUGUCCUAGGAGACAGUAGAGCAACAAGAUGGAAGAAACCUGGGUUCCUGAAUGACAACGUGGAGCAAAGACUCUCGCCAACCCAGACUGCCCACCACGGCACUGUUUCAUGUAAGAACAUGCCCUCCCUCCAAAUCCUUUGUCCAUCCACCUGUUGAGAAAACUGAAGUUGAAAGCAGCCGAAGAAUAUGCUUGGGGAACACAGCCAUGGAGAAGCAGCCCUGGCUCUCUAGAAUCUGUGUCCUGUUUACAGGCAGCAUCCAAGACUAAUUCACACCUGCAUUCAUACCACCCUUGAAGAUGGUCCUUUGUAAACAGUAGGUGCUCAACAACUGCCACGUCCCCCCUCCAGGUCCUUAGUUUGUGUCAGGUACUCAGUCCACUGUGAUGAAGAAGGAAGUCAGAGGAUUUCUAGAAAAGAUGAAAAUUAAGCAGAAUCUUGGAGAAUGAACAGGAGCAGCCUAAUGAAAAGGGAGAGAAGGACACUGCAGGCUGGAAGACGGCAAGAGCAAAAGUAUGGGGACACACAUGACACGGUACGGUAGCGGGGGGAGCAGGGAAUACAGGCACUUGACAUUUCGAGAGAAAUAGGACCUGUAUGAGCUGCAAAGGGAGAGGCAGGGCAUGGUCUUCUGUGCCAGGUUAAGAGGUUCAACCUUAUCCUGGAGAGUUCCAGAUGGUUCUAAAGGAAUGGCAUAGUCAGAUGCGCGUCUUGUGCCACUCUGGAGGGUAGGUUUGAGUGGAAUGACACUGGAGCCAGGAAGACAAGCUAGAAAGCUCCUGCAGAAGUCCAGGUUAGAAAUCAUAAGACCCUAGAAACCAGGGCAGUGGUACUUAGGGGGUGGAGAGUAGGGGGUCAGUGCAAUAAAUAUUUAGGAAGAAGAAUCUGCAGACAGGGAGGAUUUUCUAAUAGUAUUGGUUUUCUUUAGGUAGACUAGAAAGAGACUUCAGUCUUCUUCCAGUAUGGUCAUAUGUUUUUGUAAAAUUUGUAAAAGUAAGCUAUUUUCGCUGCAAAUAGUUAAUACUGCUGGUAGUAUCAUGUAAAUUUUUACAACUAUUGUCAAAGUUGGAAAUACUUCUACCAAGUUUCAUGUAUGAACUAUGAGAUUGCAGGGCAUUUUAAGUUUUCUUGUACAGUGUCUAAUCUUAAAUACUUCUUGAAUCGAUACAAGUAUUUUCCAGUUUAACAUGAAUGUUCCGAUUGUGGUGGUGAAUUGAGUUUUGUGUUAUCCUUGUAGAUGUAAGUAUUUCAUAUAAAGUUAACAUGAAAUUUAAUAUUUUCUUAGUGUAUGCCUCUGGAAUUUACAGACUUCAUUAGGAUGAAAUACAUCAGAGAAGCUAAGAUGCAAUCUGAUACAGUGAGAUGCAUGAAGCAUUUAAUUUCACAUGCAGGCAUGCUUCGAUGUGCAGUACUCUCACAGUUUGUGCCUUAUUACACAAGAGUUUAAUAAAAUAUAUUCCCUGAAAUUGUUCAGAAAAGAUGUAUGUAUAUAUGUGUGUAUGUUAUCAUUGUAUAGGUUACCUUAUCAAGUAUAUUCUCUAUAGGAAAGAACUUUUUUUUUCUU
Molecule: long non-coding RNA, 1845 nt
Organism: Aethalodelphis obliquidens (Pacific white-sided dolphin)
Lineage: Eukaryota; Metazoa; Chordata; Mammalia; Artiodactyla; Delphinidae
Exons: 4
Source: RefSeq, a predicted model, not a curated record